CAGUUAACUGCAGUCAUUUCAUCCCUCUCCAUUCUCCCUCUCCCCAAAUCCAAAGAAGUGCUCGUUGCUCCUGCAGUUGUUCCCUCACGAACAGAUCCGAGCGCUCCUGCAGGGAUGGCCGAUGCUGCUGGCCAGGCGAGUCAUCCACAAGCUUGCUUGCUUUUUUUUUCAUGGCACAUCAUAGAUCUGAUUGGGCUUGUAUGGGUUCCAGGUUUUUUUGUUUUGUAUCAAGUACUAUUGGUUUAUUAGUUUCAAGCAAGAGAAUCGCCCCCCAGUGUGUAGCUCUUUUUUUUAUUAGAUUUUAAUUUUUUUGUGUUCGUGUAUAUUAAGAUGUAUGCUGAAUUUUUAGUGGUAUAUGUAGGUUUGCAUGUAUCCAUAUAAUGUAGAUUCGUUUUUUUUUCAUGGACAUAUGUUUGAUUACAGUAAUCUAGAGUUACUAAAACUAUGUUUUUUCAUGGACAAAGGUGUUGGAUGGUUACUGAAACUAUUUUUUCUACUAGGAGUUUGUUUUUCUGUUACUAAAUCUUUUUGUGUCUCAGUAGAAGUUGAAAUCAUGCCCAUGGAAAGUAGAGCAUGAUGAAUCUUUUUCAGUGGACCCAUUUUUUUACCAGCAGUGUAUGUGGCGUCUCGUUUCUUAGAUUUUUUAAUCCCAACCCAUUUACUUGUGUGGCACUUGUUUUUUUUUUUAAUUUUUUUUGUAAGUUUCUUCUUAGGAGGCUAUAUCAAGUUAAGAUUUUUUUAUAGAACUAUUAGUAAAGCCAAGUAGCUAUAAUAGAUUUUUUUCCUGGAACUAGUAGCACCACCAUUUCCUAUGCUUGUAGGUACUUUUCUAGAGAAGUUUGUUCUUUUCUUAGGGUUCUUUUAGCUGAGAAUAUUCUGGUCUAGCAUUCAGCAAAAGUACUAGUCAACACUUUUAUUAGUUCAUGCUAUGACUUUUUAUUUUCUGAACACUUUAGUGGAACAGUGCACUUUUCCUAGCAUGAUAGCAAAAAUUAAUCUAGUCAUGUGUCAAGGGGAACAGUGCACUUUUGUUAUAUGUCAAUCCUGAAACUGGGAUUUACUGCAUUAAUGAAACUGUUAGUUCUGAAAUUUGUUUUUAAUUUUGUUUUUAUUAGUUUAACUAUAACUUAAACCUUUUUUAAAAUCUGUUAAAUCUGGAAAGGGUUCUACUUUUUGUUGCUAGUUUUAAUCUGAAACUGCUUUUUAAUUUGUCUUUUUGUUAAACUUUUUUGUGGCACACAGAAAAUCCCCAAGAAAGUUGUUGUUGUUGUGCCAUUUGAGGAACAGGGUGUUGUGGGUGUUUAUGUUGAUGGUGGGAAAUUCAGAAAAAUCCCAUACCACACUUGACACUUCUGAUGACGGUCGCAUUGUGUUGGACAGCGAGAAGUGGAAGGAGUUCAUAGCUAGCAGAGGCCUCGCGGUCAAUUCAGCAAUUCUCAUUGGCUUCAAGGAGAGCAUGGCCGGCGGUGUUGAUGUCUUGCUCGGGAUCAAGAUUCUAGUCUAGGCACCCUUUGACCAGGGGGAACGAAAGACAAUACAUCUAUGAUAUGUCAAGACCCGACGAACCUUUUUUUACGCUAUGUUAAACUCUUUGUUAGUUAACUCGUAUCUCAAGAACCGUCGUUAUGUGUUGAUAUUUAAUGCCACUCUAUGUUUGUUAUGCUUUUCAUGGGAAAACUAUGUGUAUUUUCUAUCCAUGUUUUAAUUUUUUUUGUUUCCCCCCAUGAUGAAGCAUCUAUGUUUCAGGCUGUCUUUAUAUCUUCUUUUUUAUGUGCAUUUAUUGUGUUUUGUAGUUUCAUUAUUUUUUCAAAACGCUCCCACGAACGAGAGAAACAAUUCAGAGAUGAUGUUCUGAAACGAAAAUAACAAAGCAUAUACGUGUUGUUCAUUUUUGAAGGGUUUUUUAAAGAAAUGCUGGACAAUCGUUUAGAUUUUGUUUUGCACAAUCGUUUUGUUUAAGAAUUACUAUGAUUUUUUUCUUUUUGUAGGGGUUUUGUUUUCCACUACUUUUUACGAAGGGACUUUUUUAACCAACAUGGUUUGCAACUAGUCUUAUUUGCUUGGUCGGAAUGUCACACGAGCACUAUAACACUGCCGUUUUCUGCCAUGCCCGCUAACACAAAUCAAGCAUCCGAUCUCACAACUACUUUGUGGUUUUUUCUUAUUUUUUAAAAAUCAUAUACAAUUUAUUUCCUUCUUUUGCAUUUAAUUUUUUGUUUUUACCAAGGAUUAAGAAAAAAUCAAUUUUGUUUGUUGUAUCUGAUUCUGACAGCGGAGCUCAUUUUCUCAAAAAACAAGGAGCAUAUUAAAGGAGAGAAGAGCAGCUUGGGGACCUUUGUUUUCUCGCAGGGGGUGGCGCCGAGAGAGGGGG
RNAcentral lists this long non-coding RNA (2371 nucleotides) under Triticum aestivum (bread wheat). RNAcentral describes it as "long non-coding RNA (TAES_LNC024228)". Lineage: Eukaryota; Viridiplantae; Streptophyta; Magnoliopsida; Poales; Poaceae. The record is from RNAcentral.